AGUCGAGGGGUAGAGUUCUUCGGAACUUGAGACCGGCGCACGGGUGCGUAACGCGUAUGCAAUCUACCUUUUACAGAGGGAUAGCCCAGAGAAAUUUGGAUUAAUACCUCAUAGUAUAACGACCUGGCAUCAGGAUGUUAUUAAAGUCACAACGGUAAAAGAUGAGCAUGCGUCCCAUUAGCUAGUUGGUAAGGUAACGGCUUACCAAGGCUACGAUGGGUAGGGGUCCUGAGAGGGAGAUCCCCCACACUGGUACUGAGACACGGACCAGACUCCUACGGGAGGCAGCAGUGAGGAAUAUUGGACAAUGGGCGCAAGCCUGAUCCAGCCAUGCCGCGUGCAGGAUGACGGUCCUAUGGAUUGUAAACUGCUUUUAUACGAGAAGAAACACUGCUUCGUGAAGCAGCUUGACGGUAUCGUAAGAAUAAGGAUCGGCUAACUCCGUGCCAGCAGCCGCGGUAAUACGGAGGAUCCAAGCGUUAUCCGGAAUCAUUGGGUUUAAAGGGUCCGUAGGCGGUUUAAUAAGUCAGUGGUGAAAGCCCAUCGCUCAACGGUGGAACGGCCAUUGAUACUGUUAGACUUGAAUUAUUAGGAAGUAACUAGAAUAUGUAGUGUAGCGGUGAAAUGCUUAGAGAUUACAUGGAAUACCAAUUGCGAAGGCAGGUUACUACUAAUGGAUUGACGCUGAUGGACGAAAGCGUGGGUAGCGAACAGGAUUAGAUACCCUGGUAGUCCACGCCGUAAACGAUGGAUACUAGCUGUUGGAAAGCAUUUCAGUGGCUAAGCGAAAGUGAUAAGUAUCCCACCUGGGGAGUACGUUCGCAAGAAUGAAACUCAAAGGAAUUGAC
Molecule: ribosomal RNA, 848 nt
Filed under: uncultured bacterium
Lineage: Bacteria
Description: bacterial SSU rRNA
Rfam family: Bacterial small subunit ribosomal RNA
Source: RNAcentral